RNAcentral lists this non-coding RNA (89 nucleotides) under Microbispora rosea. The record is from RNAcentral. Lineage: Bacteria; Bacillati; Actinomycetota; Actinomycetes; Streptosporangiales; Streptosporangiaceae.
CGGUCGCUGCUGUGAGGUGGGGGCUGACCAGACAGAAGUCAGCAGAGGUCGUAGUACCGGCGGGGGAACGGACAUCAGCCGGGAAGGGC